Molecule: long non-coding RNA, 558 nt
Organism: Sardina pilchardus (European sardine)
Lineage: Eukaryota; Metazoa; Chordata; Actinopteri; Clupeiformes; Clupeidae
Exons: 3
Source: RefSeq, a predicted model, not a curated record
GGAGUAAGGAAUUUCCACUGGAGGAAGGAUUGGAAGCGGCGCGAGUCUCCGACAACCACGCUCUGAAACUACCACGUUUUGGAAAAGAUACAACCUGCAAUGCAAUGCAAGAAAUGUAACUUUUCCCACUCGAAUGUGAGGACCCUCAUUAAUCACUACCGGCUCGUACAUGCUCAAGGAAGAACUUGGCCCUGCCCCUAUUCUGAUUGUGUCUGCACCUUUAGGACAUCAGAAUGCUGUUGCGGGUGUGCAUAUCCUCAGACAACAUUCGGCGGGUCAACCUUCCUUGUCUGCCAGAAUCUGUGGAUCAACUGAAGGAUAUUCUCAGAGAGAUGCUUGGACUGACAGAACAAUUUUCUUUGCAAUUUGAAGAUCCAGAGUUUGGCAAUGCUCUUUGUAAUUUACACAGCAUAGAUGAGUUGCCUGCAGACAAAGCAAUCCUAAAAGUUGUGUGGGACAACACAGCCUCUGAUGAUACUCAGACACCUGCAUCAGAUCUGUCCGAUACAAAUUCGGUGUCAUCACUUGACACAGCAAGCACAUCUAGUCAUGAGAAUU